GGGUUGUGAGGUUAAGCGACUAAGCGUACACGGUGGAUGCCCUGGCAGUCAGAGGCGAUGAAGGGCGUGCUAAUCUGCGAUAAGCGUCGGUAAGGUGAUAUGAACCGUUAUAACCGGCGAUACCCGAAUGGGGAAACCCAGUGUGACUCGUCACACUAUCAUUAACUGAAUCCAUAGGUUAAUGAGGCGAACCGGGGGAACUGAAACAUCUAAGUACCCCGAGGAAAAGAAAUCAACCGAGAUUCCCCCAGUAGCGGCGAGCGAACGGGGAGGAGCCCAGAGCCUGAAUCAGCAUGUGUGUUAGUGGAAGCGUCUGGAAAGACGCGCGAUACAGGGUGACAGCCCCGUACACAAAAGCGCAUGUGUUGUGAGCUCGAUGAGUAGGGCGGGACACGUGGUAUCCUGUCUGAAUAUGGGGGGACCAUCCUCCAAGGCUAAAUACUCCUGACUGACCGAUAGUGAACCAGUACCGUGAGGGAAAGGCGAAAAGAACCCCGGCGAGGGGAGUGAAAAAGAACCUGAAACCGUGUACGUACAAGCAGUGGGAGCACAGGUUUACCUGUGUGACUGCGUACCUUUUGUAUAAUGGGUCAGCGACUUAUAUUCUGUAGCAAGGUUAACCGAAUAGGGGAGCCGGAGGGAAACCGAGUCUUAAUUGGGCGUUAAGUUGCAGGGUAUAGACCCGAAACCCGGUGAUCUAGCCAUGGGCAGGUUGAAGGUUGGGUAACACUAACUGGAGGACCGAACCGACUAAUGUUGAAAAAUUAGCGGAUGACCUGUGGCUGGGGGUGAAAGGCCAAUCAAACCGGGAGAUAGCUGGUUCUCCCCGAAAGCUAUUUAGGUAGCGCCUCGUGAACUCAUCUCCGGGGGUAGAGCACUGUUUCGGCUAGGGGGCCAUCCCGGCUUACCAACCCGAUGCAAACUGCGAAUACCGGAGAAUGUUAUCACGGGAGACACACGGCGGGUGCUAACGUCCGUCGUGAAGAGGGAAACAACCCAGACCGCCAGCUAAGGUCCCAAAGUCAUGGUUAAGUGGGAAACGAUGUGGGAAGGCCCAGACAGCCAGGAUGUUGGCUUAGAAGCAGCCAUCAUUUAAAGAAAGCGUAAUAGCUCACUGGUCGAGUCGGCCUGCGCGGAAGAUGUAACGGGGCUAAA
This 1155-nucleotide ribosomal RNA is filed under the name Salmonella enterica. RNAcentral describes it as "partial 23S ribosomal RNA". It matches the Rfam family "Bacterial large subunit ribosomal RNA", at positions 1 to 1185 of the family's 2925-position model. The record is from RNAcentral. Lineage: Bacteria; Pseudomonadati; Pseudomonadota; Gammaproteobacteria; Enterobacterales; Enterobacteriaceae.